AUAAGGAUACCUACCAUUUACUUAUUAUAUUAUAAAAAAUAUUAACUUUAUUCACAUACUAAAGGGACAGGAUGAACAAAUGAAUCGCUGAACGAAUCAUAUGAGAGUCGCCGGGAUAAUUAGGUAAAAAUAAACGCCUAUUAUAAGACAAUGAAAGUGUUUUUUGACCUUGCAUGCAGAUCAGCCUGUUGUUAGAAACCCCCAAAACCAAAAUAUGACCUUUUUAAUGCAUAAUAGGGGCUCUUUAGUGUGUAAGCAAUUGAGAAAUACUCUAAUUUAAAACCCUGCUCUAUGUGUAUCCCACAUGUUUAUGUCACAACUAAACCCUUCUUCAUUUUUACAGGCAUUCGAUCGCCCCAGUGAUGAACAUCUAUCUUGUCAGUCCAUCCCGGGCCGUCCUCGACUUAAGACGAGACCCUGGAGACAGCUUAAUUCAGCAGUGUGAUUAAUUAAAAUGGGGCCCGUAAUGGAAGGCACACACAGCGUACUGCGUCUGUACAAACCCAUCCAGGAGCGCUGCUUCAUCAGUGUGUAUUUCCCAAAGAGAAAGUCCCGAGGUUUUCCACGCGCUGGCCAAACCCUCGGUGAAGUCCAGCCUCUGUGCAGAAGUCAGCAUGAACAAAGAGGCCAGUAUUGCAGACCAGCGGAGGACAACAGAGGAGUGUUUGCGCAGCUCCUGCUGUCUUUAUGCAGCGACUGCGCACACCGGCUGAGGAUGGGGAACCAGGACGGCAAGCUGGAGGGGUACGGAGAACACCUGGAACAUGAAAAUAAAAGAGCGUCUUCAAGAGUGCGUAAGCAGAAGAAACUGAGCUCCAAGAAACUGAACAUCACUGAAGAAUCCAACACAAUGAAGAGGAAGACGACACUGAAGGAAACAGCAUCUCAGCUUCCCUCCAAAUCUGCAUCCUACCGCAGCCAGCCUCUACUGCCCAUGAAGGAGCACUUCCACAUGGCACAUGACGGAUGGGAUGUCAUGGAGGAGCCUCGCUCCUUCGACGCGGAGCUAUCAGAACUAGAGAACCUCUAUCUGGAGUACGAGAAACCACUGGGAAACACACGGGGAGGUGUGCAGAUCACCAAUAACACACAGCAGACUGACGGAAACACAUCUAGUGUGCACUAUAGAGAGGAUCAAAUAAACCGAAGAGAUCUUCAAUACGCUAAUGUGAAACCGGUAUCGUGUGCUAGACUGCAUGAAGGUGAAACAGAAGCCAAGCACUUUCCUAAAGAACAUUGUGAAGGAUCUCCUAAUAAUAAAAGUUCAAACGUUCGCUCCUGGAGCAGAAGCCCGACAUCAAGCUCUCUGUCUAGUGUUUUCAACAUGUCCUAUCCGCAGACUAACACUCUGCAAAGCAUGUCGCCUUUAUCGUCUCAACUGCCGAGUCCACAAAUGAACCACCGUAUCGUGAUGCUGCCUGAGGAUGAUGAUGAAGAUGAUGAUGGAAAUAAACGCUGCUUCUCCGAAAACCAGCUGAAGGUCAGCUCUGAGGUCAUUGAUAAAAACGGGAAUCGCAGGAGUGUGACGCGGCUGGAGCUUAGGUUGAGCGGGAGUUUGGCUGUUAACGGAGCCAGCACAUCCUCAGAAAACUCUCUGCUGCGGCCGGAGGACAUCUGGAUGCUGGAUGGGGAAGACUCCAUUACCCAGGAGCCUUUGUGUCGUCCCAGCAGGCCUGAUCACCUGGACUUCCUGAGGAUCACUCCGCCCGAGGAUGACAUCAUCGGAGACACGCCAUAUUAUCCCAGACUCGGCAUAACGUAA
Long non-coding RNA from Danio rerio (zebrafish), 1762 nucleotides. The record is from Ensembl. NCBI's taxonomy places the organism in Eukaryota, Metazoa, Chordata, Actinopteri, Cypriniformes, Danionidae.